This is a long non-coding RNA of Cucurbita pepo subsp. pepo (vegetable marrow), 933 nucleotides long. RefSeq lists it as uncharacterized. NCBI's taxonomy places the organism in Eukaryota, Viridiplantae, Streptophyta, Magnoliopsida, Cucurbitales, Cucurbitaceae. The record is from RefSeq and is a predicted model, not a curated record.
CCACUAAAGGUAGAUCUUGUUUGGAGGGCACAGCAUUGAUGUACAGUUUUUAAAAAAUGGCUGUCCCACAUUUCUCCCAGCAGUAAAACAGAGUGUCAACAGGUGCUAUCAGUACUUCCCACCGCCCAUGAAGCCAAACAUCAGGCGGAUGGAUUGUGAGAUCUUUCAUUUUGUGUUUGAUAUUUACAGCUAAACAAACAUUAGCGGUGUGCAGUGAGGAUGCUGGCCUUCAAAUGGGUGGAUUGUGAGAUCUCACAUCGGUUGAGAAGGGGAGCGAAGUAUUUUUCUUUAACCUUGAGAGAAAACUCGAAAGAGAAAUUUUAAAUAGGACAAUAUCUACGGUAGACUUGUGUUUAAAGGAUUAAAUAAUGUAUUAAAGAUCACAUUAUAUUAUGCUUGUAUCCAAUCAUAAAUCGAACGUUAUGCAUUGAAAAAAUUAGAAGUAACUUGAAAAAUCGACUAUAUUAUACAAUGAACUUGAAAAAUCGACUAUAUUAUACAAUGAAGAUGGUCGGUGAAACUAGUUUCAACUAUUUUAAACUGAUAGGUUUAAAUAGACCCCACUAACAUGCUAACAAGGCAUGAAGAAGCCAAUCCCCAACUUCAGGAAACAUCACUGUCUUAAAACCUUCAAUUUAUCUGAACACAACCCUCAUUCAUUGCAUCAUCUGCAAGCAUUAAAAGCCUUAUGAAUUAAACAACGCAUGGAUACAUCCACAUCAUGCCUUCAAACUGAAAGAUAUUGUCUCCCUCUCUGUGCUGUAAUGGAAGGGAUUACAGUGGCCAUUAUUCAGAAGAGUUCAUCACAGAGUUCCAAAUCCUCUCUACAAAUACUUAUUUGAUACUAAUCAAACAUUUCUACACUGUAUAUCAUUGCAUGAAUUGCCAAAAAUUUCAGGUGUUAUAACCCUGUUAGGUCUGAGAAAGAAAAAA